GCAAGUCGAACGCGGAAGUUUUUUUCGGAAAGCGAGUAGAGUGGCCACGGGUGAGUAACGCGUAUAUAAUCUAUCCAGAUGUCUGGGAUAACCUACCGAAAGGUGGACUAAUAACGGAUAUGCUUGCAUGCAAGCAAAGGUGGCCUCUGAUAUAAGCUACUGCAUGAGGAGGGGUCUGCGUACCAUUAGCUAGUUGGUGGGGUAAGGGCCUACCAAGGCGACGAUGGUUAACGGGUCUGAGAGGAUGAUC
This 250-nucleotide ribosomal RNA is filed under the name uncultured bacterium. Its description in RNAcentral is "partial 16S ribosomal RNA". It matches the Rfam family "Bacterial small subunit ribosomal RNA", at positions 57 to 305 of the family's 1533-position model. The record is from RNAcentral.